This is a long non-coding RNA of Pieris rapae (cabbage white), 455 nucleotides long. RefSeq lists it as uncharacterized. NCBI's taxonomy places the organism in Eukaryota, Metazoa, Arthropoda, Insecta, Lepidoptera, Pieridae. The record is from RefSeq and is a predicted model, not a curated record. The transcript is spliced from 2 exons.
CGUAACAAUGGGCCGAUUAUUCCAUUUCAACAAGUGAAUGCUCGAACAGCGGCUUUGACAGGUGUUUCUGAAAGAACCGUGAACCGUAUAGUUUCAGAGGGAAAAAUCAUGGAAAGUAAUUUUACAGCGAGAACUGAAGUCCCUAAUCAAGCAGCUCAAGGACCUUCCACAUCCACAGCUUGUGAUGACAAUUCCACACCAGAGAACACUACUUCCGAGGCUAAGACGAUAAAACUAGUCACUCCAGGUAAAAGUAGAAAAAGAAAAUUAACUGUUUCUGAUUUGGAUGGAAUUAUCACGACGAGAUGAAUGGAGAUAACUUCAGUAAAUGGCUACAAGAAAAGCUUAUCCCAAACUUAGAGCCCAAUUCAUUAAUAGUGAUGGACAAUGCGUCAUAUCACUGUAUUAAAAUAAAUAAACGCGUGACAAUGAACAGUAAGAAACAAGAGAUGCAA